RNAcentral lists this ribosomal RNA (253 nucleotides) under uncultured bacterium. RNAcentral's name for it is "partial 16S ribosomal RNA". It matches the Rfam family "Bacterial small subunit ribosomal RNA", at positions 524 to 776 of the family's 1533-position model. The record is from RNAcentral.
UACGUAGGGUGCAAGCGUUAAUCGGAAUUACUGGGCGUAAAGGGCUCGUAGGCGGCCAACUAAGUCAGACGUGAAAUCCCCAGGCUCAACCUGGGAACUGCGUCUGAUACUGGAUGGCUUGAAUUCGGGAGAGGGAUGCAGAAUUCCAGGUGUAGCGGUGAAAUGCGUAGAUAUCUGGAGGAAUACCGGUGGCGAAGGCGGCAUCCUGGACCGACACUGACGCUGAGGUGCGAAAGCGUGGGGAGCAAACAGG